Molecule: long non-coding RNA, 2500 nt
Filed under: Homo sapiens (human)
Lineage: Eukaryota; Metazoa; Chordata; Mammalia; Primates; Hominidae
Description: CCNY antisense RNA 1, transcript variant 13 (CCNY-AS1)
Source: RNAcentral
AAGCAGAUCGGCGGCCGCGGGGAGGUUCGGGGCGGCGCAGCCCCGCGCGGUUGUGGGAUCGCUCCCGGGGGCCGCUCCUCUCUCGGGCACUGGGGUCGCGGGAGACGUCGUCGGGAGCUCGGUUUCUGGAGGCCCUUCCCCACCCGGCCUCUGCCUCCUCCACUCCCCCGGGCUGGACGGAACGGGGCCCAGCGCGGGAUGCGAGGGUCUUACUAUGUCACCCAGACUGAAGUGCAGUGGCAUGAUCACAGGUCAUUGCAUCCUCAACCACCCAGACUCAAGCAAUCCUCCUGUCUCAGCCUUCCAAGUAACUGAGACCACAGAAAUAACCAUGGAUAUGGGUAGAGACAGAGCCAUAUGGAAUGCACACUGCAGUGGUGAACACAUGGCCCAGCUCUGCCAUCAAGGAGAAGGUGAGAACAUGGGGGAAGAUUUUAUCGAAGUUUCUUUUCUGGGGCAUAUGCUCAGGUUAAACACCUGCUCUGUAUCUCUAGCUUCUGACUCCUACCCCUGGCCAGCUCUGUUACUCUAGUACACUGCUAGGCAGGCAGAGUAUGGCCAAAGUAUUCACAACAGUGCAUCACUAAAUCAACUGGGAUCCACACAAUGGAAUAUCCUAAUGCAUCAUUAAAAAUCACAUUGUAAAAGAAGAUUUUAUAACAGAAAAAAAUGCACUGUAUAUGAUACAUUUUUAAAAUGUUACUUAUGCCAGUCACAAUAAAAGACAAUUACACUUAUAUGGGAUAGAGUAGUCAAUAUUAUAGAGACAGAAGGUAGAAAUGGGUCUGGGUGGAAAUUAGAAUGAGAUGUUCUUAGCAUUCCAGUUUUACAAGAUGAAAAGAGUAACGGAGACAGAUGGCAGUGGUGGUUGCAUGACAUUAUGAAUGUACAUAAUUAAAAAUGGGUAAGAUGGCACAGUGAGAUACCAUCUCACACCAGUCAAAAUGGCUAUUACUAAAAAGUCAAAAAAAUAACAGAUGCUGGGGAGCUUGUAGAGAAAAGGGAAUGCUUAUACACUGCUAGUGGCAGUGUAAGUUAGUCCAGCCACUGUGGCAAUUCCUCAAAGAACUUAGAACUAUCAUUUGACCCAGCAAUCCCAUUACUGGGUAUAUACCCAAAGGAAUAUAAAUUGUUCUGCCUUAAAGACACAUGCAUGUGAUUGUUCAUUGCAGCACUCUUUAUAAUAACAAAGACAUGGAAUCAACCUAAAUGCUCAUCAACAGUAGACUGGAUAAAGAAAAUGUGGUUCAUAUACACCAUGGAAUACUAUGCAGCCAUAAAAAAGAAUGAGAUUAUUUCCUUUGCAGGAACAUGAAUGGAGCUGGAGGCCAUCAUCCUUAGUGAACUAACACAGGAGCAGAAAACCAAAUACCACAUGUUCUCAUGUGUAAGUGGGAGCUAAAUGAUGAGAACACAUGGACACAAAGAGGGGAACAACAGACACUGAAGCCUCCUUGAGGGAGGAGGGUAAGAGGAAGGAGAAGAUCAGAAAAGAUAACUACCAGGUACUAUGGUAGCUUAGUACCUGGGUGAUGAAAUAAUCUGUACACCCAACCCUCAUGACAGAAGUUUACCUGUGUAACAAACCUGCACAUGUAUCCCUGAAACUAAAAGUUUUUUAAAAAGUUAUUUAAUAUAUAUAUAUUUUUUUGAGACGGAGUUUUGCUCUUGUUGCCCAGGCUGGAGUGCGGUGGCGCAAUUUCGGCUCACCACAACCUCCGCCUCCCAGGUUCAAGCUAUUCCCCUGCCUCAGCCUCCCUAGUAGCUGGGAUUACAGGCUUGUGCCACCACGCCGGCUAAUUUUGUAUUUUUUGUAGAGACGGGGUUUCUCCAUGUUGGUCAGGCUGGUCUCGAACUCCCGACCUCAGGUGAUCCACCCCCCUCGGCCUCCCAAAGUGCUAGGAUUACAGGCAUGAGCCACUGCGCCCGGCAAAAAGUUAUUUAAUAUUAAUGGGACAAUACUCAUUGCAAGAAUCAGACUUCAAUUGCUAGCAUAAGUAAAUGACAGGCAGGAGAUAUUGAAAAUGCAAUCUUAUAGACAUUCAAGGAGAGGACGCAGGACAUUUCUGUGUCAUAAAUGUACUAUGGAAAAUAAAAAUGAGAAAAAUGGAAAUAAAAUACAAGAAAAGGUUAUGAUAAAUUUCAUAUUAUUUUACCACAAUAAAAAAAUUUUAAUAAAUUAUAAAUGGUGUGAUAUGUUUUGCCUGUGUUCCACCCAAAUCUCAUCUUGAAUUAGAGCUCCCACAAUUCCCACGUGUUGUGGCUGGGACCCUGUGGGAGAUAAUUGAAUCAUGGGGGCAGUUUACCCCAUACUGUUCUCUUGGUGGUGAAUAAGUCUCAUGAGAGUUGAUGGUUUGAUAAGGGGUUUCCCCUUUUGCUUGGCUCUCAUUCUCUCUUGACUGCCACCAUGUAAGAUGUGCCUUUUGCCUUCCACCAUGAUUGUGAAGCCUCCCAGCCACAUGGAACUGUGAGUCCAUUAAACCUUUUUCUUUACAAAUUA